AGGCAGUCAAGUGGAGCCGUCUC
This 23-nucleotide non-coding RNA is filed under the name Arabidopsis thaliana (thale cress). The record is from RNAcentral. Lineage: Eukaryota; Viridiplantae; Streptophyta; Magnoliopsida; Brassicales; Brassicaceae.